Molecule: transfer RNA, 68 nt
Filed under: Tribolium confusum (confused flour beetle)
Lineage: Eukaryota; Metazoa; Arthropoda; Insecta; Coleoptera; Tenebrionidae
Description: tRNA-Val
Source: RNAcentral
CAAAUUAGAGCUUGGUUAAGCGUUUUAUUUACACUAAAAAGUUAAUUGUGAAAUUCAAUUUAAUUUGA